AGGGUUUGAUCCUGGCUCAGAUUGAACGCUGGCGGCAGGCCUAACACAUGCAAGUCGAGCGGUAGAGAGAAGCUUGCUUCUCUUGAGAGCGGCGGACGGGUGAGUAAUGCCUAGGAAUCUGCCUGGUAGUGGGGGAUAACGUUCGGAAACGGACGCUAAUACCGCAUACGUCCUACGGGAGAAAGCAGGGGACCUUCGGGCCUUGCGCUAUCAGAUGAGCCUAGGUCGGAUUAGCUAGUUGGUGAGGUAAUGGCUCACCAAGGCGACGAUCCGUAACUGGUCUGAGAGGAUGAUCAGUCACACUGGAACUGAGACACGGUCCAGACUCCUACGGGAGGCAGCAGUGGGGAAUAUUGGACAAUGGGCGAAAGCCUGAUCCAGCCAUGCCGCGUGUGUGAAGAAGGUCUUCGGAUUGUAAAGCACUUUAAGUUGGGAGGAAGGGUUGUAGAUUAAUACUCUGCAAUUUUGACGUUACCGACAGAAUAAGCACCGGCUAACUCUGUGCCAGCAGCCGCGGUAAUACAGAGGGUGCAAGCGUUAAUCGGAAUUACUGGGCGUAAAGCGCGCGUAGGUGGUUUGUUAAGUUGGAUGUGAAAUCCCCGGGCUCAACCUGGGAACUGCAUUCAAAACUGACUGACUAGAGUAUGGUAGAGGGUGGUGGAAUUUCCUGUGUAGCGGUGAAAUGCGUAGAUAUAGGAAGGAACACCAGUGGCGAAGGCGACCACCUGGACUAAUACUGACACUGAGGCGCGAAAGCGUGGGGAGCAAACAGGAUUAGAUACCCUGGUAGUCCACGCCGUAAACGAUGUCAACUAGCCGUUGGAAGCCUUGAGCUUUUAGUGGCGCAGCUAA
RNAcentral lists this ribosomal RNA (852 nucleotides) under uncultured Gammaproteobacteria bacterium. RNAcentral describes it as "bacterial SSU rRNA". It matches the Rfam family "Bacterial small subunit ribosomal RNA", at positions 8 to 855 of the family's 1533-position model. The record is from RNAcentral. Lineage: Bacteria; Pseudomonadati; Pseudomonadota; Gammaproteobacteria.